RNAcentral lists this ribosomal RNA (253 nucleotides) under uncultured prokaryote. Its description in RNAcentral is "partial 16S ribosomal RNA". It matches the Rfam family "Bacterial small subunit ribosomal RNA", at positions 525 to 777 of the family's 1533-position model. The record is from RNAcentral.
ACGUAGGCAGCGAGCGUUGUUCGGAGUUACUGGGCGUAAAGCGUGCGUAGGCGGUGUCUCAAGUUUGUUGUGAAAUCUCCCGGCUUAACCGGGAGGGUGCGGCGAAUACUGAGAUGCUGGAGUGCGGGAGAGGUAAGCGGAAUUCCAGGUGUAGCGGUGAAAUGCGUAGAUAUCUGGAGGAACAUCAGUGGCGAAGGCGACACCCUGGACUCAUACUGACACUGAGGUGCGAAAGCGUGGGGAGCGAACAGGA